CUUUAUCUACAAACAAAAUAAAAUUAAACUAGCCCACUUGAGAACCCAAUGUGUCACAAAGCCAGCAUUUGGUGGUACGGACAUAAGCAACUACAUUCAAUGUAUAAUACUGUGCUACUCAAUAAAUAUAGGGGAACUAUUUCCAAGUGACAUAAAGAUAGGACCCACUUUCUUCUCAUGUGAUACAGAACCAUGUAAAAAUAUCAAAAAUUCAUGUAAAAAUAUAAUCCUGUCAAACUUUUCAAAAUAAAGAUGACGCCGAUACCAAAUUUAGUUUACAACACCAUCCGAGCUUAAAAUAAACCAUAAAACAACAUUCAGAUUUAAUUAUGGUUGCUACUUCACUUGCUCAUACCUCCUCCCUCAACAGCGCGCAAUUGUUUUCUAUAUCCGCUACUUUACUUGCUAGUAGUACCUGCCUUCGGUUUCUUGGCGGGGUUAAUGUGAACAACAGCCCUGCCGCCUUAUGUAUCAGAGUAUUACUUUGUUUGCUUUCUUUGGGAAGGUGAACCUCCCAUUGACAGCAAGGUCGUAGUAGGACGCCUCACUUCUUGCCUUGUGGAAAAAUCAACAUCCUUGAAUGUGCCGCUCAUAAUUUCAAAAAAAAAGAGAUCAUGAAUGUUCGUCACUUCAGACAUUACCAAAAUAAAUGCAGUUAAAAGAUUAUUAAAUUUGAAACAGUCCUCAUACCAUAUAGCUGAAAUUGGGAGAAUGCUAGUUAAAAUUUAAACUAGUUUCCUCCCAUACCAGUUCAAGUGAAGAAUAUAUAUUACUCUUCAAAAUAUUCGAUCAUAGUCUUGCAAUAAGAAUCUAUGGAGAAAAACAAAUAAUGCUAAUUAACAAGUAUCCAGUAAAACAACUUUCGAAAGGACUUGAUUUUAAAUUUUUAAAACACACAGAAAACAAUAUUUUGGGUAUUUACAUUAAUUUUCAAGGACAGUGUUGAGGAAACGAUUGAGCAUAAGCUAUGGUUCUUAACGCUGCCAAGAAUUGAUUUCGUAUCCACUCACAGGUUGUAAUUGCGUUCAAAAAAAUUUAAAAACAAAUAAACAAAAACUAGGUUUAGAAUUGCAUCACAUCCAGGAUUUUUAGGGCUCCCACCAAGAGUUUAAAAUUGUAUCUCACAAUCCAAAGAACAACUGUUGAGAUGCACAUUAUGUUGUAUAACAACUGACGAAGUUAAAAAAAUCACAACACAAGAUGUUGUAUACACAUUAUGUUCAUACUAAAUCAGUAGGAUUUAGAAUCAUAUAGGAAACUAAUCAACUAUAAAUGUAAAAAUCGCUAGAAGACACAUAAAUACCAAAUAAAAGAUAAACAAAUAAGAUAUGACCCAUGGACCAAUACUACGAGUCUAUAAACCAUGUCCAAAUCUAUAUUGUAAAACGGGAGGAAAAAGUAACCUUUUUUUGGUGUUAACAAUUUUGUAAAGCUUUUUAGUGUUUCCUUUUCUAUCCUUUACAUCCCUAUUAAUUCUUUUAAAUAGAGUUAUUUUUUUCAUUCCUACUUUUUCUCUCCCACUCUCUUAUCCCUGUUAUUCUCCCACUUUCUACCACUUUCUUAUUCUUUCACAUUAAAUCAGUCACGUAGUGUGUGCAGUUAACUAGUAAUAAUAAAAAUCCCGAAAUACACCUAGACUCUAAAUAUAAAGGUGCCCAACAAACUAUAAAAUCAAUAUAAAUCUAAAACUCGUGUUAGGGGUGACCCAUGAGCCCGCAAUACCUGCACACACAUGAGAAGGUGUAACACACGUCUAGAACUCAAUCUUGACCCCAAAACUUAAAGUGAUAGGUCAUUUUAUCAUUGAAACACUAGAUUGGGGUAUAAAAUCUACCAACAAGGAAAAAUAAUGUCAGAAUACAUUAUUCCUAUACUGUGCGGCCCAUAUCAUCAUGUCCUGACCUUGUACCUGGUAUAACAAAUGUAGCCUUAGCAUAAAAAAAACUUGCUACGCGGGUAACCCACAACCACGUGCAAGGACGAAGACCGCGAUUAAACUACAAAAUUGUUUGUCGUCUUUACUCAUAUUAUCAAGGAUGUGUACGGAAAUUUAAAAGUUCUCACACAUCACAAAACAUUUUGAAUUUGGGCAAUUAGUGAUACAAAUUUUUAUAGAUAAACUUAUCAAAUUUAUUUGACUCAGAAGUAGAAACAUGUGCAAAUUAGAUUUAAUGGUCACUACAAGUACGCAUUCUUGUGAAGACUUACAAUAAGGAUUACCUCUGAAGUGCAGCCCAUACAAUGAGGUGAUUUUGUGAUUAGGUGGAUCUCUUUUGGGCUUAGGCAAAAGACACGAGAGGUAGAUAAGGAAAGCCCAAUUGAAAGCUUAAAAAUAAUGCAUACUUGUAAUCAUGACCAUCAAUUCUACUUUGUUAAAAAUAAUCUUAACACUGUUUAUGAGGAGUUUGGGACAGAAAAGAAAAGAAUGAAAAAUUAGUAAGUUUUCUUUUAUAUUGUUACUGAGUUUAUAAAAGAAAAGAAAAGAAAACUUAACUUAAGUUCCUCAUUUAAGUUACUAAGUUACCCUUAAAUUAGUUUAAUUAUGUUUAUAAAUUAAAGGUUUUAAUAGAGAUUAUAAACGACGAACUUAUGUUUUGUGAUUAGGUGGACCUCUUUUGGGUUUAGACAGAAAGCACGAGGGUCAGAUAAGGCAAACCCAAUUGAAGGCUUAAAAAUAAUGCGUACUUGUAAUCAAGACCAUCAAAUCAAAUUUGUAAAAAAUAAUCUUACACUCUGUUUAUGAGGAGUUUGGGAUAGAAAAGAAAAGAAUGGAAAACUAGUAAGUUUUCUUGUUGUUACUGAGUUUAUAAAAGAAAAAAAAAGAAAACAUAACUCAAGUUCCUCAUUUAAGUAACUAAGUUACCCUUAAAAUAGUUUAAUUAUGUUUAUAAACUAAAGGGUAUAAUAGAGAUUAUAAAAGAUGAACUUAUGUUAUUUGGCAAGAAAUGUAGCCAAGUUUUCCUUUCAUUUUUUUUCUUCAUUAAAAAACUCUGUAACAAAGGAAUUGGACAUAAAACUAAAGUUUUCCGCCCAUUUCUUUUCUUUUUCGUCCAUUUUAAAACACAGUAACCGAGUGUUAGAGACUUGCGUUUACCUAAGCAAUAUAAAAGAGAAUACAAGUUUAAUCGAAGAGAAAGAGAGAGAGAGAAUGAAAUAAGCCGUAGAACAUAAACGACGGAGAAGAAAGCAAAUAGCCCCUCAACGAUCAAGCUUCCAGCCUAUGGUGUUCUCAGACAUCCAUCCUCUGACUUCCAAGUAAUUUUUUCCCUUUUUCCAUCUACUUCCUCUUUUCUUUUCUUAAUUGAUUUUUCUUUUUCUACUUUUUUCUCUCGUCUUAAUAAUUUUUCUUCUUCUUGAUUUUUUUUAUCUCUUUUUCGUCAUAUUGUUGUUUUCUUCAAGGGUGUAGCAAAUGAGUUUCAAUUCUCAAGUGAGGUAUUGUUGUUUUCUCUUGAAUUUUUUAACUCUUAUCCUUUGUGAUACAAAUUAAAAUGAAAAUGAAGAAUGCAAAUAAAAACAAAGGAAAAAGGAAAGAAAAAGAAAUCAUGAAGAAGAAUUAAUAAGACGGAAAAAAAAUAGAGAAGAAAAAAUCAAUUGAGAAAAGAAAAAGGGAAAGAAAAAGAAGGAAAAAUUACAUGGAGGAUAGAGGAUGGAUGCCUGAGAUUACCAGAGACUGAAAACUUGAUCGUUGAGAAACUAAUUACUUUCUUCUUCUCCGUUUCUGUACUAGGGCUUCUUUCAUACUCCCUCUCUCCCUUUCUCUUUCUCUUUGUUUUUGCCUGUAGGUUUCUUCUCUUUUAUAUUGUUGAGGUAAACUCAACUCCUUAGGAUUAUUUUUACAAAUUAGAUUUGAUGGUCAAGAGUAUAACUUCAGUUAGGCUUGCCUUAUCAACUCCUCGUGCUUUAUGUCUAAGCGCAAAAGAGGUCCAAUUAAUCCCAAAAACGGGUACAUUGUAUUGGUUGUUGCACCUUAAAGGUAAUUUUUAUUGAAAACUUCAAAAGAAUGCGUACUUGUAAAGACCAUCAAAUCUAAUUUGUUUAAAGAAAUCCGCCUAAACCCAAUUAGGGUCUGCCUCAAACCAGGUGAGGUCCCAAAAGGUGUGCCUCGCGCCUUUGACAACAAUGCUAUAGGUGCCAUUUUUGACAUCUGUGGAUUGUCACUAUAAGAUCAUGUUAAUUACAUCAUGACAAUUAGAUCAUGAAAAUUCAGAGAUUUAUUACACGAGUUCCGUGAUUUGACAAGGAUGGAAGUAGAAGAAAAUAAAAUUUUAAUAUUAUUGGUUUUUUGUUAUAUAUUAUUAUUUCUAAAUGAUUUCAAUGUACUUAGCUUAUUUAGUAGGCAAUAUUAGAAUAUACAUAUAUAUAUAGGUAUAAAUUCUAGAGUUUUUUAUUUAUAGCAAUAGAUUAUUAUUAGAGAUUUGUUUUCUUUUCAAAUUAGAUUACCUAUUAUUUUACUUAGCCUCCAAGUAUUAGCUUUUCGAUAUAAAUUGCUACAAUCUCAUUAUUAUGAUAUUGAAUGAUUCAUUACUUUUGAUUUUAAGUCUUGUGCUUGUAGCUUUAAGGCAUAUUUAUCUCCUUUUAAUCCUUUUUAUUCCGUCCUCCUUCCUCCAUCCUUGUCCUUACAUCAUGAUUGUUUUAGCUUCUACUUUUUUACUGCUUACUGUUACAAACGAUCUAAGUCAGUAGGAAACGAUCUAAAACAGCAUGCUCAUAUUUUGGCCAUUUUCAAAAUAAACAGCUCAAAAACACUUGUCUCGGAAAAAUAAGCAACGGGAAAUCUGAAACAAAAAAGACACUAUUUAGAGAUAUCAUCGGGUUUAAAAAAAUUAUUGAAAGAAUUCUUUGAUGUUCGAAAAUCCAUUAGAAGAUAUCACAAUCUAUAAUAUAACAUCUCAUCCCCAUGUAAAUCAAUAGACGACAGUAGCAAACCCCCAAAAGCAACCAUUGCAAAAUCCAAAGAAUAAGAAGAAAAAAAUUGACUUUAUCCCACAACUUGUGGAGAGAUAAACAGCAGCUAUAAACAUACACGGCAUUCCUCUCAGACCAAGGCCAUAAUAAUACCCAAUUUGAAUUCUUGUGGCUCAAGAUGAACUGCCUCUGAAAGCAUAAACACGGAUACGACAUGAUAUGGACAUGCUAACACAAUAAGUUCUAGAAAAGCAAGAAAGUACACCUUGACAACAUGUUAAUGAUAGAAAAUUAAUGGACAUUUGGCUUGUGUUUAUAACGUUCUGGAUGCUGGGUCUCCCGAUAUUAAAUACCUUGUGCAUGUGAAGUCGCAGUGUUUUCAUAUGAUUAUGUGAAAUUUCGCAUUGCCUCGUGGAGACAAGUCAAAAUUAUGUCUUAAGGCCAAUUCAAAGGUACCAGAUACUCUCAUUAACCAAGCGACCACAUAUUGAUACUUAUGUACCACUACUCUAAAUUUACCAUACCAAUUUUUUGUUGUUGUUUUAACUAUAAUUGCACAAACAUCCAUAUUCUAACCUAGCAUUGGAUGCUCAAGCAUUACAUUUGUACUACAUUAUUUAUAAAACCGCCAACUUGUUGACGCAACUAAAUUUUUGUUAAAAAAACAUAGGUUUAUUAACAUUUAGAUUUUAAGAAAAUUUCUAAAUAUAAGCACUAAAAUAAAGACAUCAUAGCGUACCGUGUUUUAGUUAUGUAGCAUAUUGCGUGCUCGUAUUGUUCAACAAAUCAAAACGAACCACGUUCCAGGAACGCUGGGCCAAUCCGGCAGUGGUUCCAUCUGCUCUGCAACCAUGGCCCCAAAAUUUACACGUAUAAAAUGUCCCAGUGCUGCCUGCUAGUAAUGAGGACUGAAUUUAUUUUGCUGGUGAGCCUACAUUACUUGCUACUGCCUCGCAACCACGGGCCCAUAAUUUACAAUCAUGAACUGUCCAAUCGCUGCCUACUGGUGGUGAGGACACCUGGUGCCUGCAGAAACACAUACAAAUAUUAGAUGAUUCAUUCUAGAAGUGUAGUUUUGUUGUUAGAACAGCAUUAUAUCAUAUUUUCUUUAACAAAAAGAGUGUUCCCAAGUUAGAAGGUGGAGGUUGGGUUGUAUACCUGGAGGUUUAUUCACUAACAGUCUCUACUAUUAACUUUUGAUAUUAAAAUUUUAAAAAAAAAUUACUUGUGGCAAAUGCAUACAUGAAAUAAAUUUCUGAAUAAAUAUUUACUAGCAGUUAAACACAAAUUUGUUGAAUUUGUAGAAAGAACAACUACAAAUUAAUUUUCUAGAAGUUGAUGGAAGGUCAACUGUAUGGCAUAAAUAUAGAUCAUACACAGUAACAAUUUAACUUUGAAUGCAUUUUUGUUGUAUGAUAUAAAAAAGAUAUCCUUUUUUCUUUGAUAAUUUUUAUCACCAACACAAAAUAUUACAAAAUAAAAAAGAUUAUCCAUUAAGUACGUAUAAUAUUAAUGCAUUUUGGUUGUAUGAUAUUAUAAAGAUUGUGAAUACAAAUAUUCCUGAUCCAGACUCUGUUCAUUAAUGGUUCUCUAUCAACCAAAAGAUUUUAGGAUUACUCUCUUCACUAACUAGUUAGAUAUGGUUUACAUACAUACUAAAAUUUCAGAGAAUAUUUAAAAUAACAACAUAUAUAGAUCUAUCUAAAAUAAAACCAUAUAUAGAUCUAUCGAACUAGAGUGAAAAAAAGAAGGGAAAAAAGACUUCCAAAAAUAUAAAUAACAAGUGUAUAUACAUAUUUGUCUCAUCAAAGAAACUAGCUAAUCAACUGAGUUGUUAAUUUGUUAGGUUUGGCGAAAACGUAACCUAGUAAAAACACGGUCAAUUUUGCAAAUAAUGUCCUAUGCAAACCAUUUAUCACUAUAAAAAAAACAUGUGUUCUAAAAAUCGGCCAAGAUGGGCGCCUAGGAGGAAUCAACCCUCCAUCGCCUCAAUUUGGCCCUAAUCGUUGCAAUAAUUGAUGGAGGUGGUGGUGGUGCCUACCUUGCUUAAAAUGUUUUUGCGGCCUUUCAGAUGCUUAGGUACUUGCCGAUACGGCGCUCACGUGAUCUCUUCUAACUAUCUUAAACCUUGUUGCCAAUGCAGAUUGAUUGACUCUCUCACUCUCACUUACAACGUGUUUCUCUCAGCGGCUGAGAGUUGAAAUGAAAGCGAUGGUUUCUAGGGUUUUUAUUAUAAGAAUUUGCAUUUAUACAAGUUUACAGGUUUGCCCUCUAUAGUUUUCGCAUACUAGUAAGUAAAAUGGGCCUUAAGAUCUGAUCCUAUUGCAGGCCUUAUAAGGUGUUGUGCAAUCUAUAAUCUUUAUAAGUUGGUUGGGUAAUACAAAAUAUAUUGUUGCAGUUUUCAUUUACUUCACUUUCCUUUAUAAAAUUCUUUUCAACUAGAAGAAACAUUGAAGAGUUUCCCUUAUUAGCCUUUUUAAGGCUUUUCUUUUCUUUUAAACAUGAUGUUCAAAGAAAUUUAAGUUACUUUACAUGUUAAUGAUGGUUAGCGCAGAGAGAACGAACGUGAGAAUAGGAAAUAAAGAUGGAAAGAUGAUAUUACGAAUAAUUACAUAAUAAUAAUAGAUUACAUCACUUUACAUAGACUAAAGAAACUAGAAUUAAUUUAGUAGGGAAAGCAAAGAGUCUUCUACUCAAAUUAAAAGAUAUACAUUAAGUAGACUAGAUUUAUGUCUAAAUAGUAAUACAAAGAAUUUACUAAAUUUAGAAAAACUCGUCCUCAUGUUUUAAAGUGUUGGAGAAUGAGAAACAAAAUGUCUACCAGCGAAGUCUCAUGUUCCCAUUUGAUGAACACAUGUCUCCCAAAACAACUGUGGCACAAUAGAUGAUUCAAAACAACAUGGGACAAUUGGUGUCUAUUUCUUUGUUGCUUGGUUCCUUUUAAAAGUAAACAAAAUGUUGUUAGAUGGUAUGAGAAGAAAGUUGAAGAUGAAGAUAUUAAGAAGAUAAUCGAUAAUCAUCAUAAAGUGUAGCCAUUGACUUUUCAAGUGACUGACAAACAUUCGAAAAUGGAAAUGAGGACAAUAUCUUAGAGACGGGAGUACUUUUUCAUUUGAAUAAAAUAAUUGGCCCAUGCUCGUUCUCUAACACAUAUUUUGUGUUUUUAGUGUUAUAUUAUCUAUGCUUAAAUGAUUUAUUUAACUACGUUUAGAUAUGAAUGGGCAUCCUUGGUUUGGCACUUUUUCAAUAUUCUAAUACUAUAAUUUCAAGAAAAAAGGAAGAAAGGAAAAAAAAUAACAGGAAACUUGGUACAAUGCUAAAUCAACCACCAUGCAACAUGAGUUUGAAAGAAAUUUGGGAGUUUAGUAAAAUAAAUAGAGCAGAAGCUAAGGGAUGACUACGCCUAAACCACCAAUUUGACUUUGUGACCCUAUCGCUCAUGCAACCCCAGCCCCGGCCUGGGCGCAGAUGGUUCACCGCAACGCAAGAAUCCCGCCCAUGUCCCUUCCUUAUGUUCCACAAAUAAUUUGACUAUCCAUAUAAAUGCUUAUAAACCCGCGUGUAAAAUAGUCUAGUAUUCAAUGUGAGACUUCCAUUUAAAGCAUAUGAUCAACAUGCUCACUUUAACCUUGUUCUUUUAGAAAGUACUCAUGGGGUUUUCAAGUUCUAGUUGUUACAGUGACUAGAACUUUCAAAGAUUACAAGUUUAACAAGUCAAGAACUUUCAAAAAUUCAACAUGUAGGAGGGCAGAAUCGUCUUUUAUCUUCCAGAGACAACCCUGGGAGAUCAAGUCAAACCCCGGUGACAACCCAGGAGAUCAAGUCACACCCCGGAGAUAACCCCAACAGAUCAAGUCAAACCUCGGGAGAUCAAGUCAAACCCCUAUGACAACCCUGGGAGAUCAAGUCAAACCCCGAAGACAACCCCGUCCCCAGAGACAACCCCGGAAAAUAUCAAACCAACCUUAGAGACAACCAUGAGGACUAUCAAAAGUUAACAGCAGUCCAAUCUCGCAGACAACCUUGAGAAAAGACGACUACAACUGCAUCAAGCCCGAAACCAACCCAAAAAGUAGGACUGAGCAAAAAACGGAUAUAACCGAAUUACCGAACCGAACCGAAAUAAUUUAACCGAAAUAUUCUAAAUUUUCGGUUAUUUUUAAUAUUUCGGUUAUAUCCGAAUUGUUUUACGGUUUUCGGUUCGGUUGUACGGGUUUUAUUUUUGAGUUAUUCGGUUUAACCGAAUAACCGAAGUCAAGUCAAGUGAUUAGUGAUUACUACUUUACUCAGCCUUAGUCAAGUCCAUUACUACUUCAGAUCUUCGUUCUUCUUCUUUCCCUCCUCCUGCUCAAUCGACGAUCUGCCUUUCCCUCAGAACGUGACCUCAUCGAUCUGCUCAGCCUUAGUCAAGUGGCACGUGACCUCAUCGAUCUGCCUUUCCCUCAGAACAAGAAACGUGCUCUUCGUUCUUCUCCGAAACUCCGACCCACUUCCUUCUCAGAUCUGUACCCAGAUUUGUACCCAGAUCUCUCUCAGAUCUGUUCUUCUCCGACCCUCCUCCUGCUCAAUCGACGAUACGAUCUUGUAGGCGAUGGAGAGGAGGUUCUGCUCCUUGACGGUGAGCUUGCCGGCGGCAGCGGAAGUGGAGCCGAUCAAAACAUAGCAGAAAUAUAUAAAUCCGAUGUUGUAUCACAUAAAACUCAAGCGACCGCCAAAGGGAAAACAUAGCAGAAAUAUAUAAAUCAGAUGUUGUAUCACAUAAAAGAGAAGGGAUACCAGGAACAAUGUUGAUGAGAGAGAGAUAGGAGGAGGGCAGUGACAGUUGCAGGGUGGGCAAGAGGAAGAAGAGUCGCUGUGAGUGUUAAUCAAUAAUCAUGUAGGAACUCUUAUGUUGUUGUUCUCUCUCGGUAGUCGAUAAUAUGUUUUGAUGUUUCUGCUAUUAAUUGCUAAAUAGGUCUUCUAAAUUUGGUUAUUAACCGAAUAACCGAUUAACCUAUUCGGUUAUUCGGUAAUUCGGUUAUCAUAGAUUUCGGAUAAUUGUUCGGAUACCCAAAACAGUGUACUUUCGGUUUUCGGUUAUAACCGAAAUGCUUGUUCGGUUCGGAUAAUAACCGAAUGCUCACUCCUACCAAAAAGGGCAAAAUAGUAAUUUUGUCAACUCAACAUCAAUUCAGCCCAAAUCACUGCAAAAGAGGUCAUGCAGAACCAAAACAUCAAUCCCGAAUGAAAACAGCACAAGACAGCUCAACGGAUGGACUACGAAGACUUGAAGAUCUGGUCAUGGACCCAUCUUCCCGUAUUAGAAAAAGGUCAAAUCCCAUAUCAUUGUGUAGCUCUCGUCAAAGGCUUUCCGGAAAGGUAUAACACGCCUCCAUCGGAUUUCCGGAUUGAAAGUUAUGAAGGUUUGAGCGGACAACACGUUGAUUCGAGUGCAUGUACUUCGAGACAACGGGACCAUGAGGACCGGGCCCACCUGGCAGCCGCAGGUAAACCCGCGGCUAUUUUGGUCUAUAAAUAGACACCCCCAUCAGCCAAAAGAAAAAACAGAGAGAAUUUUGUCCAUUUCAGCUCUUAAUCCCUCCUAUAGUGUUUCAAACUUUGAUAUUCUUCUUUGUAAACACUUAUAUACAUAUAUACUACAACAUAUACAGAGUUUUCAAGCUUCAAAAGCGGUUUAAAGCUCUCCUUGCUACACACUUUAAGAUUCUUUCAUGAAGCUUUUACUCGCUUAUCCAAGCAAAUUAUCUUGGAAAGAAGUUCUAUACUUUCUCGUCAUCGUUUAAUAGUAGUAGGCAGUAGCACGACACAAUAUCAGUAUUAAUAGAAUAAUAUCAAUGAUGUUCCACAUCAUAUCCAUAAUUUAUUAAAUUUCUGUUAUAUAUGGAAGAAAAAAAUUUGCAAAACAACCUCAAUAAUGCUAGCCUAGAGGGGAUUAUUACAGUGAAUGCAAAUUGAAUAUUUUAAUUUAUUUUUCAGAAACAAAAAACAGAUAAAUACAAUAUUCACUUUUCUAAGCAAAACCCCAUAUUUAUCGAAGAAAAUAGUGUCUUAAAUUAUUCUAAACACCACAAAAUUUCAUAGUUACUGAACUGACACCACAAACCUGCUAUAUUGCCAUCUGUUGCAACGAUUAAGGAGCAGGAUCUAGAUAACGACGGUAGCCCCUGACGGCACCACUCCCGGACCACCGUCGGCGACGCAAGGGUAAGGUCGUAAAUAGCUUCGGUAACGAUUUUUGAAAAACUUAUUAAUAGGUUUUCCGGAUCAGAAUCCACCGUACUCGGGGAUAUUAUUAUAUGUAAAAUGUAAA
RNAcentral lists this long non-coding RNA (11215 nucleotides) under Panax ginseng (ginseng). RNAcentral's name for it is "long non-coding RNA (PGIN_LNC004569)". Lineage: Eukaryota; Viridiplantae; Streptophyta; Magnoliopsida; Apiales; Araliaceae. The record is from RNAcentral.